GCCGGUGACGCCGACAAACACGUCGCCGACGGUACGUAAGGAGAACGUAUGGAGGAGUGUGUUUCACCCAGGAAGCAAUCUAGCUACCAGGAGGAUUGGUGCUGAGGUGUUUGAUAAGCCUUCUCACCCUAAUGCUCCCACUGUUUAUGACUGGUAAGUUUUAACUCCAUACAGAUCAUAAUAGCAUAGCAUAAAUUAACUUUUAAUUUGUUUAAUUUAAUUACUGGUCGAAGGGUGAUACGAAAAGUUAAGUGGUGCAAAUGUUAUUAUAACUGUUAUUAUGAGUGUGUUGUUUGAUUUUUGAUGGCAGGCUGUACAGUGGGAACACCAGAUCUAAGCAUCAUGAGAAGAGCUGAGAGCUUUUGGGUGGCUAAAGAAGCAUCAUGAUCUUGAAAAUCUGCAUGUAAAUAGUGUUUUUCUUUUUCUGCGAGUUGCUUCGUUAAUGAAGUAUGGGUUGCUGGACUUUUAUGUUUGUUUGUGAAUAUAGUACUAUGUUUUUUCU
RNAcentral lists this long non-coding RNA (502 nucleotides) under Capsicum annuum. RNAcentral's name for it is "long non-coding RNA (CANN_LNC003452)". Lineage: Eukaryota; Viridiplantae; Streptophyta; Magnoliopsida; Solanales; Solanaceae. The record is from RNAcentral.